This 388-nucleotide ribosomal RNA is filed under the name uncultured bacterium. RNAcentral describes it as "bacterial SSU rRNA". It matches the Rfam family "Bacterial small subunit ribosomal RNA", at positions 28 to 407 of the family's 1533-position model. The record is from RNAcentral.
GACGAACGCUGGCGGCGUGCUUAAUACAUGCAAGUCAACUUGACUUUAGAUAGCAAUAUCGAAAAGUAGGGUGGCGCACGGGUGCGUAACGCGUAGGUAAUCUGCCCUGAGGUCUGACAUAACCCGUCGAAAGGCGGGCUAACAUCAGAUGAUAUAUAAUCACGACAUCGUGGAAAUAUCAAAUCUUCGGAGCCUUGGGAUGAGCCUGCGUCUGAUUAGGUAGUUGGCGGAGUAAUAGCCCACCAAGCCUACGAUCAGUAGCUGGUCUGAGAGGAUGAUCAGCCACACUGGAACUGAGACACGGUCCAGACUCCUACGGGAGGCAGCAGUAAGGAAUAUUGCUCAAUAGGGGAAACCCGUACGAAGACAGCAACGACCGCCGUGAAGG